Non-coding RNA from Pelobates cultripes (western spadefoot toad), 87 nucleotides. The record is from the annotation of a GenBank genome assembly. Lineage: Eukaryota; Metazoa; Chordata; Amphibia; Anura; Pelobatidae.
AAUGAUCAGCUGUCUGAUAUGUUGAUAUCAAAAUAUACAUAUAUUUUGUUGAUAUUUUGAUAUCAACAUAUCAGACAGCUGAUCAUU